CGUCCCAACGGCUUCCUGACGGGGCGCGGUUCAUAAUCGGAGCA
RNAcentral lists this non-coding RNA (44 nucleotides) under Jannaschia helgolandensis. RNAcentral describes it as "SAM-SAH-Weickhmann-2018 RNA". It matches the Rfam family "SAM/SAH riboswitch aptamer". The record is from RNAcentral. Lineage: Bacteria; Pseudomonadati; Pseudomonadota; Alphaproteobacteria; Rhodobacterales; Roseobacteraceae.